Molecule: non-coding RNA, 29 nt
Filed under: Mus musculus (house mouse)
Lineage: Eukaryota; Metazoa; Chordata; Mammalia; Rodentia; Muridae
Source: RNAcentral
AGCAUUACAGGUACACCACCAAUGCCUGC